Molecule: unclassified non-coding RNA, 240 nt
Filed under: soil metagenome
Description: partial contains 5.8S ribosomal RNA, internal transcribed spacer 2, and large subunit ribosomal RNA
Source: RNAcentral
AACCUAGCACACCUGCGGUGUGUACCUGCGGAAGGAUCAUUACCGAGUUAGCGUAGUCACACUGCCCGACCUCCCAACCCUGUGUCUACCAUACCUUGUCGUUGCUUCGGCGGACCGGUUGACCAACUGGUCAUGACCGCCGGGGGCUGGCUCUGUCCCCCCUGGAGAGCGUCCGCCGAUGGCCCAACCACAAAACUCUUGUACCGAAACGUGUCGUCUGAAUUAUGUUUGAGAAAUCAA